Molecule: non-coding RNA, 84 nt
Filed under: uncultured Blautia sp.
Lineage: Bacteria; Bacillati; Bacillota; Clostridia; Lachnospirales; Lachnospiraceae
Source: RNAcentral
ACCGUUAUCGGGAGGUAACGCUGAACAUACAGAAGUCAGCAGAGGUCAUACUAGCUGAAAAGUUUUUUUUUUUCAGUGAAGGAC